CCAGCUUGCUGGAUGCUGACGAGCGGCGGACGCGGUGAGUAAUGCAUAGGAAUCUGCCCGAUAGUGGGGGAUAACCUGGGGAAACCCAGGCUAAUACCGCAUACGUCCUACGGGAGAAAGGGGGCUCCGGCUCCCGCUAUGGGAUGAGCCUAUGUCGGAUUAGCUAGUUGGUGAGGUAACGGCUCACCAAGGCCACGAUCCGUAGCUGGUCUGAGAGGAUGAUCAGCCACAUCGGGACUGAGACACGGCCCGAACUCCUACGGGAGGCAGCAGUGGGGAAUAUUGGACAAUGGGGGAAACCCUGAUCCAGCCAUGCCGCGUGUGUGAAGAAGGCCCUCGGGUUGUAAAGCACUUUCAGCGAGGAAGAACGCCUAGCGGUUAAUACCCGCUAGGAAAGACAUCACUCGCAGAAGAAGCACCGGCUAAGUCCGUGCCAGCAGCCGCGGUAGAUACGGAGGGUGCAAGCGUUAAUCGGAGUUACUGGGGCGUAAAGCGCGCGUAGGUGGCUUGAUAACCCGGUUGUGAAAAGCCCCGGGCUCAACCUGGGGAACGGCAUCCGGAACUGUCGGGCUAGAGUGCAAGGAGAGGAAGGUAGAAUUCCCGGGUGUAUCGG
This 613-nucleotide ribosomal RNA is filed under the name Vreelandella aquamarina. RNAcentral's name for it is "bacterial SSU rRNA". It matches the Rfam family "Bacterial small subunit ribosomal RNA", at positions 75 to 681 of the family's 1533-position model. The record is from RNAcentral. Lineage: Bacteria; Pseudomonadati; Pseudomonadota; Gammaproteobacteria; Oceanospirillales; Halomonadaceae.